RNAcentral lists this transfer RNA (76 nucleotides) under Oscillospiraceae bacterium. Its description in RNAcentral is "tRNA-Pro". It matches the Rfam family "tRNA". Rfam says of the family: Transfer RNA (tRNA) molecules are approximately 80 nucleotides in length. Lineage: Bacteria; Bacillati; Bacillota; Clostridia; Eubacteriales; Oscillospiraceae. The record is from RNAcentral.
CGGGGUGUGGCGCAGUUGGGAGCGCGGGUAGUUUGGGACCAUCAGGCCGCAGGUUUGAUCCCUGUCACUCGGACCA